Molecule: ribosomal RNA, 557 nt
Filed under: uncultured bacterium
Lineage: Bacteria
Description: bacterial SSU rRNA
Rfam family: Bacterial small subunit ribosomal RNA
Source: RNAcentral
ACGGGUGAGUAACGCGUGGGAAUCUACCCAUCACUACGGAAUAACUCAGGGAAACUUGUGCUAAUACCGUAUACGCCCUUCGGGGGAAAGAUUUAUCGGUGAUGGAUGAGCCCGCGUUGGAUUAGCUAGUUGGUGGGGUAAAGGCCUACCAAGGCGACGAUCCAUAGCUGGUCUGAGAGGAUGAUCAGCCACAUUGGGACUGAGACACGGCCCAAACUCCUACGGGAGGCAGCAGUGGGGAAUAUUGGACAAUGGGCGCAAGCCUGAUCCAGCCAUGCCGCGUGUGUGAUGAAGGCCUUAGGGUUGUAAAGCACUUUCACCGGAGAAGAUAAUGACGGUAUCCGGAGAAGAAGCCCCGGCUAACUUCGUGCCAGCAGCCGCGGUAAUACGAAGGGGGCUAGCGUUGUUCGGAAUUACUGGGCGUAAAGCGCACGUAGGCGGAUCGAUCAGUCAGGGGUGAAAUCCCGCAGCUCAACUGCGGAACUGCCUUUGAUACUGUCGGUCUAGAGUAUGGAAGAGGUGAGUGGAAUUCCAAGUGUAGAGGUGAAAUUCGUAGA